RNAcentral lists this unclassified non-coding RNA (477 nucleotides) under Hevea brasiliensis (rubber tree). Lineage: Eukaryota; Viridiplantae; Streptophyta; Magnoliopsida; Malpighiales; Euphorbiaceae. The record is from RNAcentral.
AUUUCGAGUAAUUAAUCCUCUUCUGAAAAACAAAAGGAAAGCAAUUUGUUACCAUAUGUCUAUACCAUAAGUACCACGUUGCAAAAUUUGUCUGCAAAUACCAUCAUCAUGAUAAAAGCUAAAUUUGCAUUUAAAACUUUGCAAACACGAGUCACUGACUAAUAACAUUUGAAAAAUAUAUCACCCCCAAAACGAGAGGAAAAAUUAUACUUCACUAUUAAUGACUCCCAAGAAAAAAUAAAAAGUGAAGGAAAACACUAGCAAGCACCAGUUCCUACCACAUAGGCGCAACAAAAGUACUUGCAUGCGAAAACUAGAAUAUCUUCACAAACAUGCCAGUCAUAUUAUACAAUACUCGUGCAAAUCAAGCAUGAACAUAUGUGCUACUAACAGAAGAUUAAAUGAGCCUCAACUCUCCGUCCCAGCCCACCACUUAAAACUUCCAGAAGCUCCACUAAUGGAAAAAAAAAAGUAAAA